Molecule: long non-coding RNA, 2352 nt
Filed under: Paramuricea clavata
Lineage: Eukaryota; Metazoa; Cnidaria; Anthozoa; Malacalcyonacea; Plexauridae
Source: RNAcentral
UAAUAAACCCGGGUGUUUUGCAAUCAAAAGUGAUGCAACCUGGAUAGUGGAAUAAGUUGAUUACUGUAGGCACAAUUUUUGGCCACUUAAUAGUCAAAGGUCAUGCAUAAAUAAGAACAGUCUUUAAUAUUACCGCCUUACGGAGACUUUAUAUUAAUUGUGCUACUCGAGGAUCUAGAAGGUCCUAGAAGAACCAUAGGUCCCAUACUCGACUAGCAACAUAAUCAAGUUAGUUAUGUUAAUUCAUUAUAUAUAGGAUCAAUGUUAAAGGCAAGGUGGGCUAUAAGCUAUAAUCAUUUGUAUGGCUUAUAGAAGGCUAAUUGCCGUGAAUAAAUUGAAUAAUGAAUGUAGCACAAUAUUAAAUAGUUGCAUGAUGACGUCAAAGAAACUAGUCAGACUACAUUUGCAAGUUUUGCAACUCUCAUCGCUUAAAUUCCCCAUACCUGAAUACAAAAUAAACAGUAAACAACGAUUACCUUUUACAUACCAUAUAUAAAACGGAGUUUUCAUCCUUUCUAGAAACUCACUUCCUGAACUUUUGAGCGCAAAUGUAAUGUAUUAAAAAUGUAUAUCAUAUUCACAGCAGUUAAUACCAUUAAUAUAUCGCGGGCGCAAUACAAAACAAAACACGAGAAUUUUAAAAUGUUUUGAUUUGCAAAUAAAUAAAUAAUAUUUGAUGUCAUAAAAAUUUUUAAAUUUAACUCAACACAAACUGGUAAGUUCAUGACAUGUAUAAUUUACUUAUAUGUUGUUAUAUUGCAAUUCUGUACCCUACUCCUUUGAAAAUUGUUUGCAAUUGCAUAUGAUGUGAACAUGUGGUCAUGUAUUAUAGUUGUGUCAUGGAUUUAAUAAUACCCCAAUGGCUUCGAAAUAGACAAUGGAUGGAAAAAGUCAUGAAUAUUGAACUUAUUUACCCUUUAAACACUUGAUCGUCAUGCGCAUACAGUGUAUUGUUUGUUUCCAGAACCCCCUCAAGCAGACUUCAACUUUUUUUGUUAAAUUGUAUAUUUUGCUUCAUACACUGCAUGUGUGUGUGUUUGUGGGAACACUCAUGUUUGGAUGCUUGGCGUAGGUUAAUGGUAAUUUCAUUGGAGUCAUCAGGGAUAUAGUUGUAUAUUCCUGAAAUUACCUCUAAACACCUAAAACAGCAUUCCCUAAAAUUUUAAUUGUUUUCUUACAUUGCCCUAUAUCGCUCAAACUCGCAUUGCUUAAAUUGCAGAUUUUGCUUAAAUCACCUAAAUUUGCUUAAUUAAACUUGCAUUAUCUCGUUAUCGCCCCAGAGUAGGGCCUACUGUUGCCAUUGCUUUUUAGUCCCCAAUACUUCAGUGAGUCAUGCUUUGGAAAUGACAAUAAUUUUUUAUUACCCAACCCUUGAGUUGUUUUGUUUUUCAUUUACCCAACCUUUUACUUAGUCAAAAUUUAGUUUACCCAACCCUUUUCUCUUCGGUGCCACCCCCCACCAUAAAUAAUGACCGGUCCCUUACAACAUUUCGUAACGAAACUUUGGAAUAUUACUAAUUUUGAGAUGCUCUUUCAAGCUGUGAUGAAAUUUUUGUCUAGACUUGUCUAGAUCACAAUUUAGUCUAUAAUGCAAAUGGUCCAUUGACAAGUCCUUAUUUUAGGGGCUAAGCACAUUUUACUUUUUGACACUGAAUUACUUUAGCACCAGUGUAUUUCAAGAAAAGUAGACUGCACUUAAUCAAUCAUAGCUUACAGUCAAAUCUGGUGUUUCGUUGCCAGCAAUAUUGCAAUAUUGUCACACAUUGCAAUAUUGACCGGCUGAUUGCUCUAGCAAAUUGCAACCAACGCGGAUAAAUUGCAAUUUUUACUUGUUGACAAUUUGUGGAUUUCAAGUAUUUGAUUGGCUUGUUUUGUACUAGUAGCCAAUCGGGCUUUAUUUACAAAGUUGCUUCUGAAUCAUAUUAUAAACUUUUGAAUUUUGCAGUUGACGGUUUAAUACUGUUACCAUAUGUAAAAAUUGCAAUUUGUUUGCGUCGGUUGCAAUUUGCUAGAGCAAUCAGCUGAUCAAUGGAAUACCGGAUUAGACUAUAACAUGUAUGUCUUUCUUUGAAAAUAAAGUACAAUUUUUGAUCAUAUAAUCUCAGGUUUCUACAGAAAUUGUUCAUCUUGUCAAUAAUAAGAAAGCUGUGGAUACAACUACCUUUGCAGAUACAACUACCUGAAAAAUACAAGCAGAACUUCGUCGUUUCUGGCGAAGAUCCUUCGUCGUGAAGUUAGUAGCCAUUAAUCCUUGUAUUUUUCACGUAGUUGUAUCCCUAUCAAUCCCCAACUUUCUCAUUUCAAAACUAGUUUCAUAUUAUUCAGACAUUGCAGAGAACACUUUUCCUUGUA